CUCCGUCCCAAAAUAAGUGCAGCCAUGGUUUUCUGCGCCCAACUUUGACCGUUCGUCUUAUUUGAAAACUUUUUUAAAAAAAUUAAAAACAGAAGUCACGAGUAAAGUACUAUUUAUGUUUUAUCAUCUCAUAACAAUAAAAAUGCUAAUUAUAAAAAAAUUUCAAAUAAGACGGACGAUCAAAAUUGGGCGCAGAAACUCAUGGCUGCGCUUAUUUUGGGACGGAGGUA
This 230-nucleotide microRNA precursor is filed under the name Oryza sativa (Asian cultivated rice). Its description in RNAcentral is "partial microRNA MIR433b-2 precursor". The stretch from base 12 to 216 matches the Rfam family "MIR812 microRNA precursor family". Lineage: Eukaryota; Viridiplantae; Streptophyta; Magnoliopsida; Poales; Poaceae. The record is from RNAcentral.